UGGGGAAUUUUGGACAAUGGGCGAAAGCCUGAUCCAGCAAUGCCGCGUGUGUGAAGAAGGCCUUCGGGUUGUAAAGCACUUUUGUCCGGAAAGAAAUCCUCUGGGGUUAAUACCCUCGGGGGGAUGACGGUACCGGAAGAAUAAGCACCGGCUAACUACGUGCCAGCAGCCGCGGUAAUACGUAGGGUGCAAGCGUUAAUCGGAAUUACUGGGCGUAAAGCGUGCGCAGGCGGUUUUGUAAGACGGAUGCGAAAUCCCCGGGCUUAACUGGGAACUGCAUUCGUGACUGCAAGGCUAGAGUAUGGCAGAGGGGGUAGAAUUCCACGUUAGCAGUGAAAUGCGUAGAGAUGUGGAGGAAUACCGAUGGCGAAGGCAGCCCCUGGGCCAAUACUGACGCUCAUGCACGAAAGCGUGGGGAGCAAACAGGAUUAGAUACCCUGGUAGUCCACGCCCUAAACGAUGUCAACUAGUUGUUGGGGAUUCAUUUCCUUAGUAACGUAGCUAACGCGUGAAGUUGACCGCCUGGGG
RNAcentral lists this ribosomal RNA (528 nucleotides) under uncultured bacterium. Its description in RNAcentral is "partial 16S ribosomal RNA". It matches the Rfam family "Bacterial small subunit ribosomal RNA", at positions 355 to 878 of the family's 1533-position model. The record is from RNAcentral.